RNAcentral lists this ribosomal RNA (382 nucleotides) under uncultured bacterium. Its description in RNAcentral is "bacterial SSU rRNA". It matches the Rfam family "Bacterial small subunit ribosomal RNA", at positions 90 to 471 of the family's 1533-position model. The record is from RNAcentral.
GGCGACCGGCGCACGGGUGCGUAACGCGUAUACAAUCUACCUUUUACAGGGGCAUAGCCCGGGGAAACCCGGAUUAAUAUCCCAUGGUAUCAAGACAUGGCAUCAUGAUUUGAUUAAAGCUUCGGCGGUAAAAGAUGAGUAUGCGUCCUAUUAGUUAGUUGGUAAGGUAACGGCUUACCAAGGCAGCGAUAGGUAGGGGUCCUGAGAGGGAGAUCCCCCACACUGGUACUGAGACACGGACCAGACUCCUACGGGAGGCAGCAGUGAGGAAUAUUGGACAAUGGGCGGGAGCCUGAUCCAGCCAUGCCGCGUGCAGGAAGACGGCCCUAUGGGUUGUAAACUGCUUUUACAGAGGAAGAAACACCCCCUCGUGAGGGGGCUU